This 1146-nucleotide long non-coding RNA is filed under the name Oryzias javanicus (javanese ricefish). Its description in RNAcentral is "lncRNA (ENSOJAG00000000825.1)". Lineage: Eukaryota; Metazoa; Chordata; Actinopteri; Beloniformes; Adrianichthyidae. The record is from RNAcentral.
UGGGUGCGGCUUCCACUGGCUGACAACUGAUGUCCAUCGCCAUGCCAACUCCCUGGGUGGCGUCUGCUGCAACUGAUGUCUGCGUCGUUUUUCCAGAGCAUUGCCAUGCCAGAAAUAGGCAGUUUUUAUUGAGUUUUCUCGUGAAUUGAUCAGUAAUGUACACUUAAACAAAAAAAAAAAAAGUAAAGAAAAAUAUACUGUGCAAAUGUAGGCCUCUGUCUUAAUGAAUUUGGCCAUGUGUGUUUCUGUGCCAAACAAAUGAUCGGGAUGGGAGGAGCGAAGGUGCCGAAGCUGCUUCUCCACCUUUGUAUCAAGAAUGAACUUUUAUGAAUGGUUUUGAUUUGCUCUAUCAGGCAUUGAUGCCUUUGCAGACAGCUUUGUUCACAGAUCAGUACAUAUUUUACUCUAAUGGUUGUCACUACACACAAUCUCAAUAUCAACUGCAUUUCUGGCCUGGCUAUUGUGAAAAAAAGGGUUCUUCUCCAUCCAGACGCCAAAGCUCUGAGGACAAGGUCCUGAAAUGUGUGCUCCAGCUCUGAAUCCACAAGCAAAGAGGAGAAAGCUGUGACAGAAGCAAAGGAACACGUCAACUCCGUGAAAAAACGCCCUCAAGUCUUAAUUUUUUCCAAAAAUUUUGUAUUUUAAAGUCAUGUAUACACUUUUUUUUUUUUUUUACGUAGGUCAUAAAACAAUUUUGUCAUUCGCUAUUUUGUAAGAAAAAAAAGAGAGUGGGAAAAGAGAAGUGGAUCCAUUGGACAGAAAAUGUUUUUCUUAUAUUUUUACAACUUUAUAUUGGCUUUCCCAGCAGUUAAUGUUUUUAUAUAUUUACUAUGCGGUCCAUAUCAGUUAUUGUAUACCUUUUGCCUCUACUGUAUUCUACAAAUCUGGGCCAGUUACAUGCUGCUAGUCAUUCUCACUGAAAUACUUCUUGUCUGCUUUUGAGUUUUACAGCAAAAAAUAAUAAAAAUAAAAAAAGCUUCAAGGUUGAAAAGAUGUUUGAUUCCUUUGCUGUCCUCAGAGUGAGUUGCACAAUGUAACUGCCUUGAUAUUUAUUUUCAGACAAAUAAUUCAAGGGAUGUGCAGCUCAACAGAGUAAUGCAAGUAAUGUUUGUGUCAUGCCAUGCUAAUAAAAUGAAGUUUUAAGAC